AUUAUAUUUUAAAUACUGAUUAAAUUUCAUUAAUUAAUAUUAAUAUGUAUUUAAUAUUAAAGGAUUGUUUUAGAAUAUAAAGAAAAGAAUGUUAGUCAAUAUGCCUUGUACCACUUACCAUAAACAUUUUUUAGGCUAUAGCAAAAUUGUAUAUAGCUUUAGAAUUCCUCCCCUUCCAUUAGAUAUAAUGCUGAAUUUUUCCCGUCAAAUUUAAUGAACAUACAGGAGUAAAUUUGAACAUAUGAGAUACAUUUUGAAAUGAAAUAUUACUCUUGUGUAUAUUGGGGCUGAACACUUAGAUAAAAGGAAUUUUUAAGGGGGUAUCAUUUAAUGUCAAGAGACUGAUCAAGAAAACUAAUUUUUACAAAUAAAAUUAAUACACCACUGUACUUUGAAAUUAUUUAUAUUUUGUUGACCAUGCACUUUAAAAAUUAUUUUUAUUUUUAUUCAAGUAAAGAUCAGAAUUUUCUUGUUCAAGAACCUUGUUUAUAGCUUUUAAUCUUCUCUGUGAAAAAAUGAUGCAAAGAAGAGUCCAGAACCUCGAUUUAUUUUCUUGUCAAAUAGACAAAGGUGACAACGAACUGGGGCUUUGUACUUGUAUCUUCUUUGAUCCAGCAGAUGAGGAUGGAAAGGAACCAGGGGUUUUUAUAACUGAAAUUAUUGAAGGAGGUGCAGUUCACAAACUUGGAUGUAUCCGUGUAUUUGACCAGAUUAUUAAAAUAGGUGACAUCAAUCUAAUUGGAUUGGAUGAAGCAGAAAUCGUCUCUAUUUUUAAAAAAAUGGACGAUUCUCCUUUCCAGAUUGAAUUUGGCCGCGAACCACCUGAAGUCAAGUCAGAACUUAUAGUACUCCUCAAGUUGUCAGAGGAAAGGAAGAAAUAUUUUAUGAAUUCACUCAUAGUACAGGUAUUAUGUGAACCAAAUAAAAAAAUGCAGAAACUCAAAAUUCUUUCUUUUUUAUCAUAACAAUAUUAAAAGUAAAAUUUUGUUCUUUAAAAAGUUUCCUUUCCUACUCUUGAGUAACUUCAUCUUAAUUUAUUACAUACUUUUUUAUUGUUGCUCUUUUAUGCAAUUUUAUCAAUGUCUCUGAGAUUUACAUUCUAAUCUUCUCUGAUGCACUCCAACCUUCACCACUGAAUUAUCAUUUGUAGUAUAGAGAAUGAAUUAAGCAAAACUGAACAAUAAAUACACAACUGAAUCUGAUAGUUUUUGCUCC
RNAcentral lists this long non-coding RNA (1215 nucleotides) under Monodelphis domestica (gray short-tailed opossum). Its description in RNAcentral is "lncRNA (ENSMODG00000037273.1)". The record is from RNAcentral. Lineage: Eukaryota; Metazoa; Chordata; Mammalia; Didelphimorphia; Didelphidae.